UACGUAGGGUGCAAGCGUUGCCCGGAUUUAUUGGGCGUAAAGGGCGCGCAGGCGGCUCGGCACGUCCGUUGUGAAAUCGCCCGGCUCAACUGGGCGGGGUCAGCGGAUACGGUGUGGCUCGAGCAAGCUAGGGGGCAAUGGAACUCCCGGUGUAGUGGUGGAAUGCGUAGAUAUCGGGAAGAACACCAGUGGCGAAGGCGGUUGCCUGGAGCUUUGCUGACGCUGAUGCGCGAAAGCGUGGGGAGCGAUCCGG
Molecule: ribosomal RNA, 253 nt
Filed under: uncultured bacterium
Lineage: Bacteria
Description: partial 16S ribosomal RNA
Rfam family: Bacterial small subunit ribosomal RNA
Source: RNAcentral